UGGUGAUCAGGUUUUCCUCUGAGGUGUCAUA
This 31-nucleotide non-coding RNA is filed under the name Homo sapiens (human). The record is from RNAcentral. Lineage: Eukaryota; Metazoa; Chordata; Mammalia; Primates; Hominidae.